Non-coding RNA from Glycine soja, 119 nucleotides. The record is from Rfam. Lineage: Eukaryota; Viridiplantae; Streptophyta; Magnoliopsida; Fabales; Fabaceae.
GUUAUGUUCGAUGAUAACUUCCCAUGUCAUGUUAUGAUUGGAUGUCAACUCCAUAGAAGAUGAAAUACAUUGUUAUUUUUAUUGAUCAAUCAGAACAUGACACAUGAUCGUCAUCAUCC